This 87-nucleotide transfer RNA is filed under the name Pseudomonas oryzicola. RNAcentral's name for it is "tRNA-OTHER". The record is from RNAcentral. Lineage: Bacteria; Pseudomonadati; Pseudomonadota; Gammaproteobacteria; Pseudomonadales; Pseudomonadaceae.
GGGCCUAGAUCAAGACACAAAAGGCGGCACCGGCCUGGCGAUCUCAUAAUCCUUUGGUCCACGGUUCGAGUCCGUGUGGGCCCACCA